GCGGGCAUAGUUUAGUGGAAAAACUUUAGCCUUCCAAGCUAAUAAUGAGGGUUCGAUUCCCUCUGCCCGCU
Molecule: transfer RNA, 71 nt
Filed under: Cryptomonas paramaecium
Lineage: Eukaryota; Cryptophyceae; Cryptomonadales; Cryptomonadaceae
Description: Cryptomonas paramecium tRNA-Gly
Rfam family: tRNA
About the family: Transfer RNA (tRNA) molecules are approximately 80 nucleotides in length. Their secondary structure includes four short double-helical elements and three loops (D, anti-codon, and T loops). Further hydrogen bonds mediate the characteristic L-shaped molecular structure. tRNAs have two regions of fundamental functional importance: the anti-codon, which is responsible for specific mRNA codon recognition, and the 3' end, to which the tRNAs corresponding amino acid is attached (by aminoacyl-tRNA synthetases). tRNAs cope with the degeneracy of the genetic code in two manners: having more than one tRNA (with a specific anti-codon) for a particular amino acid; and 'wobble' base-pairing, i.e. permitting non-standard base-pairing at the 3rd anti-codon position.
Source: RNAcentral